RNAcentral lists this ribosomal RNA (903 nucleotides) under Vreelandella venusta. RNAcentral describes it as "bacterial SSU rRNA". It matches the Rfam family "Bacterial small subunit ribosomal RNA", at positions 80 to 986 of the family's 1533-position model. Lineage: Bacteria; Pseudomonadati; Pseudomonadota; Gammaproteobacteria; Oceanospirillales; Halomonadaceae. The record is from RNAcentral.
CUACCCGCUGACNAGCGGCGGACGGGUGAGUAAUGCAUAGGAAUCUGCCCGGUAGUGGGGGAUAACCUGGGGAAACCCAGGCUAAUACCGCAUACGUCCUACGGGAGAAAGGGGGCUCCGGCUCCCGCUAUUGGAUGAGCCUAUGUCGGAUUAGCUAGUUGGUGAGGUAAUGGCUCACCAAGGCGACGAUCCGUAGCUGGUCUGAGAGGAUGAUCAGCCACAUCGGGACUGAGACACGGCCCGAACUCCUACGGGAGGCAGCAGUGGGGAAUAUUGGACAAUGGGCGAAAGCCUGAUCCAGCCAUGCCGCGUGUGUGAAGAAGGCCCUCGGGUUGUAAAGCACUUUCAGUGAGGAAGAACGCCUAGUGGUUAAUACCCAUCAGGAAAGACAUCACUCGCAGAAGAAGCACCGGCUAACUCCGUGCCAGCAGCCGCGGUAAUACGGAGGGUGCAAGCGUUAAUCGGAAUUACUGGGCGUAAAGCGCGCGUAGGUGGCUUGAUAAGCCGGUUGUGAAAGCCCCGGGCUCAACCUGGGAACGGCAUCCGGAACUGUCAAGCUAGAGUGCAGGAGAGGAAGGUAGAAUUCCCGGUGUAGCGGUGAAAUGCGUAGAGAUCGGGAGGAAUACCAGUGGCGAAGGCGGCCUUCUGGACUGACACUGACACUGAGGUGCGAAAGCGUGGGUAGCAAACAGGAUUAGAUACCCUGGUAGUCCACGCCGUAAACGAUGUCGACCAGCCGUUGGGUGCCUAGCGCACUUUGUGGCGAAGUUAACGCGAUAAGUCGACCGCCUGGGGAGUACGGCCGCAAGGUUAAUACUCAAAUGAAUUGACGGGGGCGCGCACAAGCGGUGGAGCAUGUGGUUUAAAUCGAUGCAACGCGAAGAACCUUACCUACUCUUGACA